GACGAACGCUUGCGGCGUGCCUAAGAAAUGCAAGUCGAACGGAUUAGCCAGCAAUGGUUGGUCAGUGGCGAACGGUCGCGUAGCACGUAAGCAACCUGCCUCGAAGUUUGGGAUAACAAUCCGAAAGGGUUGCUAAUACCGGAUGUGGUCCACGGGUGGCAUCACUUGUGGUCUAAAGAUUUAUUGCUUCGAGAUGGGCU
RNAcentral lists this ribosomal RNA (200 nucleotides) under uncultured bacterium. Its description in RNAcentral is "partial 16S ribosomal RNA". It matches the Rfam family "Bacterial small subunit ribosomal RNA", at positions 28 to 231 of the family's 1533-position model. The record is from RNAcentral.